This 301-nucleotide ribosomal RNA is filed under the name uncultured bacterium. RNAcentral describes it as "partial 16S ribosomal RNA". It matches the Rfam family "Bacterial small subunit ribosomal RNA", at positions 509 to 807 of the family's 1533-position model. The record is from RNAcentral.
CAGUAGCCGCGGGAAUACGGAGGGUGCGAGCGUUAAUCGGAAUUACUGGGCGUAAAGGGCUCGCAGGCGGUUUCUUAAGUCUGACGUGAAAGCCCCCGGCUCAACCGGGGAGGGUCAUUGGAAACUGGGAAACUUGAGUGCAGAAGAGGAGAGUGGAAUUCCACGUGUAGCGGUGAAAUGCGUAGAGAUGUGGAGGAACACCAGUGGCGAAGGCGACUCUCUGGUCUGUAACUGACGCUGAGGAGCGAAAGCGUGGGGAGCGGACAGGAUUAGAUACCCGCGUAGUCCCUGUCUCUUAUAC